RNAcentral lists this transfer RNA (64 nucleotides) under Dipodomys ordii (Ord's kangaroo rat). It matches the Rfam family "tRNA". Rfam says of the family: Transfer RNA (tRNA) molecules are approximately 80 nucleotides in length. Lineage: Eukaryota; Metazoa; Chordata; Mammalia; Rodentia; Heteromyidae. The record is from Rfam by way of RNAcentral.
GGUGGCUCAGGGUAGAGCACUUGCCUUGCAUGCAUGAGGCCCUAGGUUUGAUUCCUUAGCACCA